CAGAGGGGGACUGAGACACGGCCCCCACUCCUACGGGAGGCAGCAGCUAAGAAUAUUGCACAAUGGACGAAAGUCUGAUGCAGCGACACCGCGUGAAGGAUGAAGGCCCUAGGGUUGUAAACUUCUUUUAUUAGGGAAUAGCAAGGAAGGUACCUAAUGAAUAAGCAACGGCUAACUACGUGCCAGCAGCCGCGGUAAUACGUAGGUUGCAAACGUUGUCCGGAAUCACUGGGCGUAAAGGGUCCGUAGGCGGUUUGAUAAGUCUCAUAUGAAAGCUUCAAGCUCAACUUGGAGAUGUUGUGAGAUACUGUCAGACUAGAGACUGUUAGAGGUAAGUGGAAUUCCAGGUGUAGUGGUGAAAUGCGUAGAUAUCUGGAGGAACACCAGUGGCGAAAGCGACUUACUGGGACAGUUCUGACGCUAAGGGACGAAAGCGUGGGGAGCGAACCGGAUUAGAUACCCGGGUAGUCCACGCUGUAAACGAUGAUUGCUAGGUUUUCGGGGCAUCGACCCCUCGUGAGCCGAAGUUAACGCGUUAAGCAAUCCGCCUGAGUAGUACGGCCGCAAGGCUAAAACUCAAAGGAAUUGACGGGGGACCGCACAAGCAGCGGAGCGUGUGGUUUAAUUCGAUGGUAAGCGAAGAACCUUACCAGGGUUUGACAUGUAAGUAGUACUGAACCGAAAGGGGAUGGACCCGCAAGGGAGCUUACACAGGUGUUGCAUGGUUGUCGUCAGCUCGUGCCGUGAGGUGUUGGGUUAAGUCCCGCAACGAGCGCAACCCUCUUUGUUAGUUGCACUCUCUAACGAUACUGCCCUUAAAAGGGAGGAAGGUGGGGAUGACGUCAAAUCAUCAUGGCUCUUACACCCUGGGCUACACACACGCUACAAUGGCAAGUACAGACGGUCGCCAACCCGCGAGGGGGAGCUAAUCCGAUAAAACUUGUCUCAGUUGGGAUUGCAGGCUGAAAUUCGCCUGCAUGAACGUGGAGUUGCUAGUAAACGCAGGUCAGCACACUGCGUUGAAUACGUUCCCGGUCCUUGUACACACCGCCCGUCACGUCAUGGAAGUUGGUAACACUUGAAGUCGUUGCGCUAACCCUUUGGGAGGCAGACGCCGAGAGUGGGACUGAUGACUGGGACGAAGUCGUAACAAGGUAGCUGUACCGGAAGGUGCG
Molecule: ribosomal RNA, 1175 nt
Filed under: marine metagenome
Description: bacterial SSU rRNA
Rfam family: Bacterial small subunit ribosomal RNA
Source: RNAcentral